RNAcentral lists this ribosomal RNA (447 nucleotides) under uncultured bacterium. Its description in RNAcentral is "bacterial SSU rRNA". It matches the Rfam family "Bacterial small subunit ribosomal RNA", at positions 355 to 825 of the family's 1533-position model. The record is from RNAcentral.
UGGGGAAUAUUGGACAAUGGGCGAAAGCCUGAUCCAGCCAUGCCGCGUGAGUGACGAAGGCCUUAGGGUUGUAAAACUCUUUCGUCGGGGACGAUAAUGACGGUACCCGAAGAAGAAGCUCCGGCUAACUUCGUGCCAGCAGCCGCGGUAAUACGAAGGGAGCUAGCGUUGUUCGGAAUCACUGGGCGUAAAGCGCACGUAGGCGGUGACUCAAGUCAGAGGUGAAAGCCUGGAGCUCAACUCCAGAACUGCCUUUGAAACUAGGUCGCUAGAAUCACGGAGAGGUGAGUGGAAUUCCGAGUGUAGAGGUGAAAUUCGUAGAUAUUCGGAAGAACACCAGUGGCGAAGGCGACCACCUGGACUGAUACUGACACUGAGGUGCGAAAGCGUGGGGAGCAAACAGGAUUAGAUACCCAGGUAGUCCCUGAGCGGGCUGGCAAGGCGCAU